ACGAACGCUGGCGGCGUGCUUAACACAUGCCAGUCGCACGGAAAGGCCCUGCUUUUGUGGGGUGCUCGUGUGGCGAACGGGUGAGUAACACGUGAGUAACCUGCCCUUGACUUUGGGAUAACUUCAGGAAACUGGGGCUAAUACCGGAUAGGAGCUCCUGCUGCAUGGUGGGGGUUGGAAAGUUUCGGCGGUUGGGGAUGGACUCGCGGCUUAUCAGCUUGUUGGUGGGGUAGUGGCUUACCAAGGCUUUGACGGGUAGCCGGCCUGAGAGGGUGACCGGCCACAUUGGGACUGAGAUACGGCCCAGACUCCUACGGGAGGCAGCAGUGGGGAAUAUUGCACAAUGGGCGGAAGCCUGAUGCAGCAACGCCGCGUGCGGGAUGACGGCCUUCGGGUUGUAAACCGCUUUCGCCUGUGACGAAGCGUGAGUGACGGUAAUGGGUAAAGAAGCACCGGCUAACUACGUG
Molecule: ribosomal RNA, 467 nt
Filed under: uncultured bacterium
Lineage: Bacteria
Description: partial 16S ribosomal RNA
Rfam family: Bacterial small subunit ribosomal RNA
Source: RNAcentral